Molecule: long non-coding RNA, 915 nt
Organism: Hyaena hyaena (striped hyena)
Lineage: Eukaryota; Metazoa; Chordata; Mammalia; Carnivora; Hyaenidae
Exons: 2
Source: RefSeq, a predicted model, not a curated record
UACAAUCCGGACCUGACAAAUGCCACUUCUAAUGCCAAAGAGUCCCACGUGGAUCUUAAGCCACAAAAAAGAAAAUCAGCUAGCCUUCGUACUUGAAAGACAAUUUUGGAAAGGAAGAUGAUUUCAAUGAUUAACUCACCCAAGUCGCUGACGCAGGGCAGGCGCUUUGCGGAAUGGGUCCUUGUGCCAUGUAGUUCAGUGGAGGAGAGUUAAUACGUGCUGGAAGAGCUGAAAAAGUAAGCACGUGACAAGGAGGCCACCCAGAGAUUAGACGCAGGAGAAGAAAGUUGCAAUGCCAUUGGGGCCAGACAGACAGAAGGAAGAGGCGAUACUACCAGAGCAAGAGAAUCCGGACACUCUGGGGGACAUGGAGCACCACAUAGGGGUGGGAAAUGCUGCCUGAGGGUAGCUGGGACCAGAGUGGGGCCAUCAGGGAGCACUGCCUUUCCGCUGACCGGAGGGCAUAGGAAAAAUACCUGGGAACUUAAAUAGAAUCCAGUUGGCAAUGGAACAUGGGAAAUGCAGUUCGAAGGGAAACAUGGAAAGAGGUAUUAAUGAGCAAUUGCCCAGCACUACCUCAAGCCCUGGUUUGAGAGAAAAAAAGAAAAUGAGAAAGCAACAUUGAUUAGGGCCCUACACCUAUCCUGUAUCUAAAGAAAUGAACAUGUCUUUGAAUGAUCCCAGUAACACCAACUCACUAAACUUCUUUAACUUCACUUUGACAUCCAUCAAGUAGAGAUGACAAUGGAAUCUACCACGUGGAGAUGCAAGGUGGCUUUAAUGAUCUACCCCACGCCAAGCAGCUAGCACUGUGCGUGGCACAUAAGUGUCGAAUAAAUGCUCAUGCUCAUUGGAACAUUUUGAGAUUCGGAUUCUCUUUGAGUGUCUGGAAGCCCAUUAAAAGUCUUGCUCAAA